Molecule: long non-coding RNA, 24291 nt
Filed under: Malus domestica (apple)
Lineage: Eukaryota; Viridiplantae; Streptophyta; Magnoliopsida; Rosales; Rosaceae
Description: long non-coding RNA (MDOM_LNC007845)
Source: RNAcentral
UCAGGAUCUCUUCAAGGAGAUCGUGCAGAGAGGCAGCGAGAUGUUUCGGUUCUGUCUUCUUCGACUCUUAUAUCGUCCCUUUUUUCUGAAUUUUCUUUAUUUCUUAUCCUUUAAACUUUGUAUUUUUUUUUUUGGUGAUGCAGAUAGAUGAACAUGUUCAAAGGGAAAUCAUGAACCACAGAUCACUGCAUCCGAAUGGACCGAAUAUCGUUUGAUUCGAAGAGGUCAGUGAUCAUAAACUAUUUUAUAAACUAUUUUCAUUUUGUUUUUUAAGAAUGAAUUCGGCAAGUUCUGUUUGAAUUUUGUAUAAGUAUCUGCUGAUGGUGGGUGGAUGAAGACAGAACAUGCUAAAUUUGGCCUUUGGUGUGCUCAAACUGGUACGGGGGAUGGUUAAAACUUUGAGCCUGGGAUGCAGUAGGACUAACAGAAAUCCACCACUUGCAGAAUUGUUGUCAAAAUAACUCUGCUAAAAAUAUGAGCUAUACUUCUUGCACUUUGUUUUUACUGUGAAGUGGAAAUAGUCUUUAGAGUGGCUUAUUUGUGAUAAUUGAUAAAGAGGUUUGUGUUUAAGACUUGAGAGUAGUGCGGUGUCUUUCUCGCUGGUUCUGCUCACACCACCUCAUCUAGCCAUUGUGAUGGAGUACACGGCUGGGUGAGAACUCUUCGAGAGAGUAUGCAGUGCUGGCAGAUUUAGUGAGGAUGAGAUAAAGUAGUUUCAAAUGCACAGAAAAUUUCAUUGGAAUUGAUUUUAGUGUAGAGUCUCAAAUAUGGGAUCUCUAAAUGUCCCCUGAAAUGGAAUCCAUCUCGAUUUUUGCUUAGUUUCAGAUAGGGAAGGUUAUGUCUGAAGCAUUUUUACAUAAACAAUCAGUCAUAAUAUAACAAAAACGAACUUACUUUUUCGAUAUAAUUGUUGUUUUGCAUCAGGCAAGGUUUUUUCCUCCAGCAAUUGAUAUCAGGAAUUAGUUGCUGGCUUUUGAUGGUAUGUAAUGUGGCACUUUUCUGCUAAUCGUAUACUGUUAUUUCUCUUUUGAUAUUGGAAGUGUUGGUUGUAGUAAGGAAAUAAUUCGUUUCAAUAGUUUACGACUUAGUUUUAAUAGUAUAUGACUCAGUUUUUGAAUAGCACUCGGGUGGUUUUUGAAUAACAGUAUUACGACUUAGUUUUCUAAAUGCCAAUAACAGCUCUAGAUUUUGUCUCAAGUGGAGUAUUCUUACUAAUGUAGCAUUUUGUUGGCGCAUCAGUAUGUUUUGAUUGUUUCUCUGCUUGAACAGAGAAUUGUUAACGUCCAGGUGGGAACGUGGGUUGGCUCAUGUUUUAAUCUCUCCGUUGUAAGCAAUUUUACAUGGUAUUCUUCAAUGUAGCUAUAGGUAAGACAACAGUCUCAGUAUUCCAUAAUCUAACCACCAUUUGAACUUUUUUCAUCCACCAAGCUAAGCUUUUAUGUGCCAUCUUGAAUGGUUAUUAUAAGUUAUUGCUUCAGAUUACUCCAGUGCGACAUUAUUGUUCUCUUCCUUACCUCUCAAGCUUGCUUAAUGUCCUUAUUCUUAUUACUGUUGUAUUGUUAAGAAAUACUCAAAUGCGGUUUCAGUUCAUCAUUAUGAAUCAGAUUAAAAUUAACCACUCACUGGUUAAUUAUCUAAAUCCUAUAAAUUCAGAUUAAAAUUAAAGCAACUACAGAACAAAAACCUCAAGAAAUCAACACGAAUUUACCUGUAUUUGAUCAUUUGUGGGAAAAUCAACACAUCGCCAUUGGAAAACUCAGUUCCUUCGCGUCCUUCAAUUACUGUCAGCAACGUCUAUCAAAAACCAAGAAAAAAGUGAGUAACGGAGUCAAUUCAGCUCAACACCAUAACUUAGUAGCUCCAGGAACUAAGACACGGUAAGAAAAAAUAAUCGGAAAUGCUGACGAAUUGAGCUGGAAAAGGGACCUUAACGGUGAUGUCGUUCUUGCGAGCUUUGAGAGCGGAUGCAAAGAACUUAGGGAGUGGAUCGGACUCAGAGCCUUUGAUGCGCCAUGGCCAAGCCUCGGGGGUCUUGUAGCAGAGGAAAACUUGGCGAUUGCUCAACUGCGUAUCGUCCUUAGUGUCUUCAUCAGACUCAUAUGACAUAGUCUCAUAGUCGUACCAAUUAGUACGACCAUCAGACAAAUCCCAUUUUACAAUAUCCACUCCUGUUUUGUUCACCUUAAUAAUUGUAUUAUCUAGUCCAGAAAAUUCUGCUUUUACAAGAACCAUGUCACCGCUUUUCAGAUUGAGCUUCUUGUUUGAAAGAUUUCCCAACCAAAGAUAAUAUUCAUGGGAAGCAGUUACGGUGGCCUUCAUUGCCCAGACGCGAAAGUUAGUUCGCUGGGUACGAUUAACAACACCAAUGGUUAGAAUCCCAGUACAGUCAGAGUUGUCCGAAGAAUAAACGAUGCCCAAAGCCAACCCUCCUAUAUAAUCAAUACUUGGCGGCACUUCGAAUUUGACAGUUUCAUCCUCUCUUGCGACAUAGGCUAACCAGUUAGGAAUAUCAUUUCCAAAGAGAAAAAUUCCACCAAAUGCAUUUUUCUACACCAUGGGGUGCAAAGUUAGUAUAAGCAACAAUACGAGAGAGAGAGAGAGAGAGAGAGAGAGAAAGAGAGAGAGAGUACCGUUUUGGAGGUUCUCCUUAAAAGUAUCAGUGAGACUGGUACACCCUUCCAUGUGAAUUGAUUCCAUGUAGUCCAAUGAGUUCUCCAAGUUUGGAAUAUCUUUGAGUUUGCGGCAGUCUUUCAGUUCCAAUUUCCUCAUUUUCGACAUCUCUGAAAAGUCGGACGUUAUUUCCAGUGCAGUGCAGUAAUUCGCUUCCAGUAGAAGCAAACUGUUCGGCAAAUCUGGGAUUGCCUCAAGGUUUGUGCAAUGAUUUAGAUGUAAUUCCUGAAGCUGAGAAAGGCCAUUGAGAUUGGGCAGCCUAUUAAAACCAUUCCCAUAUAGAACUAAAUAUUUUAAAGAAGAUAGACUCCCAAUUAUUUCGAGAAGGGCACCAUCUGUUAUAUUGCAGUCGCUGAGACCUAAUGCCUCAAUCAUCUUCAGUUGUAGUAAAAAAUGGUAACCCCUACACAAACCCUUACAGCCACUGAGGUUCAAUUCCUCGAGAUGUGGGAGUUUUGAAAAGUCUAGUAAUUCAGUCAGGUUAUGGCAGUCUUUAAGAAUGAGACACUUCAACAUCUUAGGCAACUUCUUAGGCAACUGUUACUCAAAAAGUGAAAACAAUAAUAAAAAUAUAAAUAAAUAAAAGAGAGAAUGCAUGCCGAUGACCGAUGUUGAUAUUUACAAGGACAUUGAUAAUUAUAUCGUACCAGGUCUGAAUCAUCCCAAACUCGUACAAGCUUGCUAUUUCUCAGGUCAAUAAAAACUAGGUUUCGUUGAUCAAAAUCUGCUGGUAUGGCUUCAAGGGGAAAUCCAUCCCAAACCAACAAUCUUAACUCCUUGGAAAGAUGUUUGUAGCUUCCAGUCAGCUUUACAAUUUCCAGCCGGAUAAAUUUCAGACGCCGCAUCUUCUUAAACGCUUCUGUACUGAAGCUUUCCUCGUCAUCAGAAUCUUCUGGCAACCUUAAGUUUAGUCCUUCAACUGCUUCUGUUCCCUGUUAGAGAUAUAAAAAAAAAAAAUGAUAAUAUUCACACGAAGCAGAGCCGUGAAUUGGAUGAAUGAGCUACUAGAAUGGUAGGGCAUACAACAUAAUUAAUUAUGUAUUUUCUCUUUCAAUUUACAGUGGAUGAAAGCCUUUUCUUCUUUUUCUUCAAAUAUAGGCAUACAUUAUAUAUAUGCGGAUAUGUGUAUACACUUCUCUUUCUUUACAUGUACUUAACAUAACAUCUUUUUAUUGCAAAAGUACUUACUGAUUCGUUCAUGAGCACGUUUUUUGCAUCUUCACUAUGCCACAAUCGGCUACGUUUUCCCAAUUCCACAAGAGAUUCUGCCCGCACAAUUUCUCUUCCCAUAUCUCGAAUCAAAUCAUGCAUCCUCAAGUAUCCCUCUUCAUCAAUAUAUAAGAGACAUCGUUCGUAAAGUGUGAUAAUUUCUGCUUCUACAGAAAAACUACUACAACCAUCCAAUAUUGCCGUGACAAAAAUUUUACUCCAUCCAAUAAAGAAACAAGAUAUGUCAAGGAAUACACCCUUCACAUGAUCAUCACGUAGCCCAUCGUAACUUAAUUUAAGCGUUUCAUGAAUUUUUCCAUCUGGAAUAUUUCUCAAUUUAUCCAAUGUACUUUUCCAUAUGCUUUUACUCUUUUUUGUAGCCAACAACUUCAAGAGCUAGGGGCAAUCCUCCACAAUAAUCAAUAACAUCUCUUGCGAGCUCAAUAUAUUCUUUAUCUGGACAAUCAUUUCCAAAGGCAUGCCAACUAAGAAGCUUAAGAGCUUCGUCAUCAGUCAUUCCUUGUGCUUUAUAUCUUUUAUCCACCUUUUGUAUAUUCAGCACUUGUUCAUCUCUUGUCGUUAUAAUAACUCUGCUCCCUGGACCAAACGAGUCAUGUGCUAUUGCCAAUUUAUCUAAUUGGUCCGCAUCAUCUAUGUCAUCAACCACGACAAGUACCUUCAUGCUUCCAAGUCUUUUCUCUAUCUCCUUGGUUCCUUCGGCAACACUGCUUACCUUAAUGUCAAGCCGUUUCAAAAUAUCUCGAAGAAGUUGUUCUUGGAGACUAACCAUAUUUUUCUUGUUACUCCUCACCUCUUCAAGGUAACAUUGACUGCUGAAACUGUGACUAUAUUUGCUACAAAUCUCUUUGGCAAACGUUGUUUUACCUAUACCGCCUGUACCCCAAAUUCCAAUUAUUUGAACAUCAGGUGAACCUCCAACGUCUAAGUAUUUAGUGUUGAAUUCUUUCACGCGAAGAGCUAUUCCAACUGAGUGCUUGGCAUUUUUGAAGUCUCUGGGGGUCAAUCGUCCCUUGAUGUCCCCAAUAAUUUUCUCAAUAAACACUCCUUCGCGCCUACAAGUAGAAAUUCCAAAUUACAAGAGCCAUACUAAUGCCUUAUUCAUCAUGACUAUAUAUUUACAUAUUGAAACAGGUUUGAAUAAAUUGUGAUUUACUGAGCUCAAUUCAACAACGUAUUUAAUCUUCAAUUAUAAUGUGAAUAGAUUAGAUCAUUGGUCAUUGGACUAUUACACCAUUGUAGCUUUCAGUUAUAUAAUUAAGAAUCCAUUACAAUUGGUAUUUUAAUUUGAUAAAGUGUGGAGCAUUUGUUCUUCACACACCCAUAAAAAACGAAGCAUUGUACCCUGCAUUUCACUUCCUUAGUUUUGACGGCAAUUCAUAUGCAAAUGCUCUACCAUUUAUAAAAUUCAUAUACCAAUUCUAAUAAAUUUUUAUGCAGUGACCAAAAUUACAAUUCUAUCAUAGUUCAGGGACCAAUGAUCCAAUUUUUCUUCUAACAUAUAAAAUCAUAUUCAAUGCCUUAAUUAUAAUUUCUUAAUUUUGGUUAAUUAGUGAAAUAACUCCGCCUGUGUAAGUUUAUCUUACAUUGCCGGUCCCAAGCCCGGGUAAAGGAGGAGGGGGGAGGGCGUCAGGUAGUCGACAGUCGGCACUACACAGUUACGUCGAAUCCUUAUGAAAAUGAAUCCAUAACGAAAUCGCGCUAAAGCUAGGGCGUCACCCGUAAGUGGCGCGCUGUGUGGCCCGAGCACAGUGAUAAGUGAGCAAGGGUCGCUGUAUCUCCAUAGGCACCCGGAUGCAGUGUUAAAUGAGCAAGGGGGCCAUAGAAACUUCUUUUUGAACGACUCCACUCAAAGUUGUUUAGGAGCAUAUGCUCCUAUCAACUUUACACGGGACACACAAAAGAAGUACUUUGAUUCCAUUGGACGGGGGAGGGUGAAGAAGCUAGGACAGAAGGGUAGAGUUCAAGAGAGUAGAAUGCGUUUAGGAACGUGGAAUAUAGGAACCUUAACGGGAAAAUCUAUGGAAGUAGUGGAAGUUAUGGUAAGGAGAAGGAUAAAUAUUAUGUGCCUAUAAGAAACUAAGUGGGUUGGUCUUAAGGCAAAGGAUCUAGAAAACUCAGGGUUUAAACUUUGGUACUCGGGCACAAAUAGAACGAGAAACGGUGUUGGCAUCAUCGUGGACAAGACCUUGACACAAGAUGUUGUAGAUGUCAAGAGGGUAGGAGAUAGAAUUAUGGCAAUCAAGAUUGUAAUAGGACAAGAACUCAUCAAUGUGAUUAGUGCGUACGCACCUCAAGUAGGGUUGGAUGCGAGUUCGAAGGAGAAAUUUUGGGAAGACCUUGGAGACUUGGUGCAAGGAAUUGCCCAGACAGAGAAGUUAUUUAUAGGAGGAGAUUUAAAUGGACACGUGGGCAGGGAGACAGGCAACUAUGGAGGUUUUCAUGGUGGCCAUGGUUUUGGGGAGAGAAACGAGGAUGGGAAAGCUAUCUUGGAUUUUGCAAUGGCAUAUGAUCUCUUCUUAGCCAACACCUUCUUUAAGAAAAGAGAAGAACAUGUGAUCACCUACAAGAGUGGGUUGUCAAAAACACAAAUAGAUUUUCUUCUAAUUUGGAAAGGGGAUCGUAUAACUUGUAAGGAUUGCAAAGUUAUACCGGGAGAGAGCUUGGCUAAUCAACAUCGCUUGUUGGUGAUAGAUGUACAUAUCAAAAGAGUGAGAAAAAAGAACAAGACUUGGAAGUGCCCAAGGACUAGAUGGUGAAAUCUAAAAGGAGAAAAACAAGUCAUUUUCAAAGAGAAAGUAAUCACCCAGUGUGGGUGGGAUAGAGAGGGGGAAGUUAGCCAAAGGUGGGAUUCCAUGGCUAGUUGUAUACGAAAAGUAGCAAAAGAGGUAUUAGGAGAGUCCAAGGGCUUUGCUCCACACCAAAAGGAAUCUUGGUGGUGGACUGAGGAGGUACAAACAAAGGUGAAGGCUAAGAAAGAAUGUUGUAAAGCCCUAUACAAGGACAUGACCGAUGAAAAUGGUGAAAGGUAUAGAAGAGCGAAGCAAGAGGCGAAGAAAGCUGUGAGAGAAGCUAAGUUAGCGGCUUAUGACGAUAUGUAUAAGCGACUAGCAAAAGAAUGAGAGUUGGAUAUUUAUAAACUAGCUAGAGCAAGGGAAAAGAAGACAAGGGACCUAAACCAAGUGAGGUGCAUCAAGGAUGAGGAUGGAAAGGUUCUUGCUACAGAGAACGCGGUCAAAGACAGAUGGAGAGGUUAUUUUCAUAAUCUUUUCAAUGAAGGACAUGAAAUGAGUACUUCUUUAGGGGAGUUGAGUAACUCAGAAGAGUGUAGAAACUACUCAUUUUAUCGUCGAAUCAGGAAGGAAGAAGUGGUUGUAGCUUUGAAGAAGAUGAAGCAUCGAAAAGCAGUGGGCCCAGACGAUAUACCGAUCGAAGUGUGGAAAGUCUUGGGAGAGACAGGUAUAGCAUGGCUCACUGACCUUUUCAAUAGGAUUUUGAAAAUGAAGAAGAUGCCAAAUGAGUGGCGAAAUAGCACUUUGGUGCCUAUCUACAAGAAUAAGGGCGACGUACAAAACUGCAUGAACUAUAGGGGUAUUAAGCUAAUGAGUCAUACAAUGAAGCUCUGGGAGAGAGUCAUUGAGCAUAGAUUGAGGCAAGAGACACGGGUUUCGGACAACCAAUUCGGGUUCAUGCCAGGGCGCUCAACCAUGGAGGCAAUCUAUCUCUUACGAAUAUUGAUGGAAAGAUAUAGAGAUGGGAAAAAUGAUUUACAUAUGGUCUUUAUAGAUUUGGAAAAAGCGUAUGAUAGGGUCCCAAGAGACAUUCUUUGGAGGAUUUUAGAGAAGAAAGGAGUACGAGUAGCAUAUAUCCAAGCUAUAAAGGAUAUGUAUGAAGGAGCAAAGACUGCCGUAAGAACUUAUGAAGGACAAACCGAAAGCUUCCCCAUAACUGUAGGAUUACAUCAAGGCUCAUCCUUAAGUCCUUACCUUUUUGCGUUGGUAAUGGAUGAGUUAAUAGGACAUAUUCAAGAUGAUCUUCCUUGGUGUAUGCUUUUCGCAGAUGAUAUAGUGUUGAUAGAUGAAACUCAGGAAGGGGUAAAUACGAAGCUUAACCUUUGGAGAGAAGUGUUGGAAUCUAAAGGUCUUCGCCUAAGCCGAUCAAAGACAGAAUAUAUGGAAUGCAAGUUCAGUGCAAAUGGAGGCCAAAAUGAGUUAGGGGUGAGGAUCGGAGAUCAGGAAAUGCCAAAGAGCGAUCGUUUUUUCUACUUAGGAUCUAUCUUGCAAAAGAACGGAGAAUUAGAUGGAGAUCUCAACCAUAGAAUACAAGCUGGAUGGAUGAAGUGGAAGAGUGCAUCCGGCGUGUUGUGUGACCGCCGUAUGCCACUGAAGCUCAAGGGAAAAUUUUAUAGGACGACAAUAAGGCCGGCGAUGCUGUAUAGCACAGAAUGUUGGGCGGUGAAGCAUCAACACGUACAUAAAAUGGGUGUAGCGGAGAUGAGGAUGCUUCGUUGGAUGUGUGGGCACACGAGAAAGGAUAAGAUUAUGAAUAAGGAUAUCCGAGGUAAAGUAGGAGUAGCCGAAAUUGUAGAAAAGUUGAGAGAAAAUCGGUUACGGUGGUUUGGACAUGUGCAAAGAAGGCCUACUGACGCUCCGGUUAGAAGAUGGGACUACGGGACAGAGGUUCAAGGCCGAAGGGGUAGAGGAAGACCUAGGAAAACUUUGGAAGAGACUCUAAGAAAAGACUUAGAGUAUUUGGAUUUAACAGAUGACAUGACACAGGACCGAGCACAAUGGCGUUCUAAGAUUCAUAUAGCCGACCCCACUCAGUGAAGAAGGCUUUGGUGUCUUUAACACAAUACGUUGGAAAUGAAGCAAAGCUUAUGUAUUGAUAUCUCCGAUAAGUUACAAAUAUGUACAUAUACAUGAGUCAAAAUAAACAAACAAGAGGGAGCCUUCACAAAGGUUGCUUAGGAGAAGUCUCAGCAGUCGGUAGAGCCCCAGAAAGAGAAGGCACCGGAGGGGGAUCAUUCGGAGCCUCAGUACUGGACAGAACCCUAGAAGGAAGAGGCAUCGGAGGUUGAUCAUUUGGAGCUUCAUUAUGCAGUACAGCCCCAGAAGACGAAGGCAAUAAAUGCCUUUGGAACAAACCCACAAACCGCUGAUGAUCAAGUAAAACUUGACCAUCAGAUUCCUUCAUCUGGUCAAGCUUCCUCUUCAUGUUUAUAACAUAGUUAUGUGCGAGCCGGUGCAACUGUUUAUUCUCAUGCUUGAGCCCGCUAAUCUCCUGUUUGAGACUCAUCACUUCAGCCGCCAAUGAUUCAACUUGGCGGGUUCGAGCAAAUAGGCGUUGGGCCAUAUUAGACACAGAACCUGCACACUGAACACUCAGAGCCAGAGAAUCCUUAACAACCAAUUCAACAGACCGUUUGGAAAGUAGUCUGUUAUCUUUGGGAGUGAGAAGGUUCCUGGCCACCACCGCAGCGGUCAUAUCAUUCUUCAUCACAGAAUCCCCAACGGUAAGAGGACCAGUAGGGGAUAAGAAGGAUGGGCGCCAUAUGUUGUCUGGAGAAGGUGUGGCUGCCUCUUCAACAAGGUUCAAGUCAAAACGACGGUCGGAGGGGCCAGACAUUUUCAAAGGUGUUGAAGAGAGAAAAGGUCAGACAAAUCAAGAUCUUAGAAGUGCAAGAAGGGAGCUUCUACUGGUGAAGAUUCAGGUGUGCUUUGAAACUUAAUGCCAGCCUCUAUAAAAAUCUGCACUUGACGGAGCUUCAGAAAUCAAAGAGGCAUCUGCCCAGAAAUCGAAGAGGCGUUUGCUUUCUCAAAAGUUGGGCUGCUCAGAGACCACGAGGGCCGAUUUCAGAAAUCGAAGAGGCGUUUGCUUUCUCAAAAGCUGGGCUGCUCAAAGACCACGAAGGCUGAUCUCAGAAAUCGAAGAGGCGCUUGCUUUCUCAAAAGAUGGGCUGCUCAGAGACCACAAGGGCCGAUCUCAGAAAUCGAAGAGGCACCUGUUUUUUUUUUUUUCAGCCUUGUCAGCAUCUGUCACAUGCACACUCAGCUUUGCUGAAAUUACGGGCAUUCUGGUGAAGUAGAAAGCACGUGAAUCUUAUUGUUCAAUCAUCCACUUUUCACACGCACCAUCAGCUCAUGGGUACCACAGAUAACUUUGCCAAAGAUCUCUGACAAAGUUUAGACACGUGAAGCUUGCAGCUCCCACUACAUCGCUAUGACCAAGAAGGGUAAAAUAAUAGCAAAGAAACAACACUAACAAAGUUUAGACACAGAAAUUUUGAAGGUCUAGCUAUCAUAUUAUUACCCACAAGGGUAAAGGAACAACAUCACGGCUGGAUAAUUGGAAAGUCCCUGUGUGUCAACCUCUGUGCUCCAUGGCAAGGUAGACUAGCAAACAUGCCCUACCUUUACUCACAUUCGAGAAAACACUCCAAACAAGAUUGCUUGCUCCAAAAUCGAAGAGGCACCGUCCUCCGAAUCUUGAGAGCCAGACUCCCAACAUGAUUACUUUCUCAAAAAUCGAAGAGACACCGCUCUCCGAAUCUCGAGAGCCAGACUCCCAGCAGGAUUGCUCUCUCAAAAAUCGAAGAGGCACCGUUCUCCGAAUCUCGAGAGACAGAUCCCCGACAGGAUUGCUUGUUCGAAAACUGAAGAGGCAUCACUUUCUCAACUUCGAGAGCCAGAUCUCCUUGGAUAAAGCUUGUCUGUAAUCUUCACACGCAACAUCAGCUUUCCAGAUACCACAGACCACUUUUUCAAAGUGCUCUGACACACGUGAAGCUGGCAGCUCCCACUACCGUGCUAUGACCAAGCAGGGUAAAGGAAUAGCAUUACUACUUGUUGUUAGGGAGACUCCUAUAUAUGUCGACCUCCAUCUUCAACGGACAGGCAGACCUGCAAAAAUGCUCAACCAUUCCUCAUAUCUGAGAGGGCACUCCCAACGAAGCCUCUCGAAAUACUCAGCUUUCUUUCCCCCCCCCCCCCCGAUAAUACCUUUGCAAACAAGCUACACCAGAGCAAGAAUAUCUCAUAUCAUCAGGGUUAAAAGCAAGAGUAUCCUAUAUCAUGCUAUUUCCCUGUCUUUUCCUUUGGCCUUGUUCUUACCUGCAAGACAAGGAGAACAUCUACCUAUGAGACAGAUAAGGCAAGUGAAGACGAUACCACACUUCGGUACUUAGAAGUUUCGUGAUUACGAUAUCAUUCUCCCACAAUAUUUCCUUAUGUCAUUUGUACUAAAUCAUUCAUUUGUACCCACUAAAGGAGAGCUUGAACCUAUGUACUUGUGUAAACCCUUCACAAUUAAUGCGAACUCAUCUACUCCAUAGACGUAGCCAAUCUGGGUAAACCACGUACAUCUUAUGUUUGCUUUCCUGUCUCUAUCCAUUUACAUACUUAUCCACCAUAAUGACCAGAGCAAUAAGUUAAUACUUUCUGUUGUACCAAAGUCCUCACUGAUUUUUUGCAUCAACAAGCCUUAAGUCCUUACCCUUUUGCGUCGCAAAUGAUAUAAGGUUGAUAGAUGAAACUCAUGAGGGGUAAAUGCGAAGCUUAACCUUUGGAGAGAAGUGGUGGAAUCUAAAGGUCUUCGCCUAAGCCGAUCAAAGACAGCAUAUAUGGAGUGCAAGUUCAGUGCAAAUGGAGACCAAAAUGAGUUAGGGGCGAGGAUCGGAGAUCAGGUAAUACCAAAGAGCGACCGUUUUCGCUACCUAGGAUCUAUCUUGCAAAAGAACGGAGAAUUAGAUGGAGAUCUCAAUCAUAGAAUACAAGCUGGAUGGAGAGGUGGUCUGUGAAGGUAGUGCGUGUCGUCACCUCUAAAGCUCAAAAACACCUCGUUCUUCCAGCGGUUUGAGCGGCACGGGCAAGACGAAGAGGCUGCGAUGGCGGUUCCAUGGACAGAGCUGAUGGUAUCUAUCGAUAAUUGGUACUAGCGUUGGGAGACUAGAGGGAGUGCAGCAGGCUGUGCGGCUUGGCUUUCAGAUAGCCAAAGCUCAGUCAAAUGUCAUCGCCUAAGUAUUAUAGAGAAACAAAAUGCGUGGAGCGAUAUGAAUAUACAUGUACAUGGCAUUGCAUAAGUUUACUACAAAAUAUGGUAACACCCUAAUUUUUAUGGACAUAGUACUAUCAGUAUUUGUGACUAUCUGCAUUGCAACUAUCCAAUAUUGCCAUGACAAUAGUUAUAUCCCAUCCAAUAAAGAAAUUAGAUAUGUCAAGGAACACACCCUUCACAUGAUCGGUACUUAACCCAUCGUAGCUUAAUUUAAGCGAUUCAUGAAUUUUUUUCAUGUGAAAUAUUUUAUUCAAUGUACUUUCCCAUAUGCUUCUACUUUUUUUCGUAGCCAACAAAUGGCCAACAACUUUCUGAGCUAGGGGCAAUCCUCCACAAUAAAGAACAACAUCUUCUGUGAUGUUGAGGUCGUUGCUGUCAACGAUCCCUUCAUCACCACCCGACUACAUGGUAAGUAAUUUACAUGGGUUUCCGCCUGUGACUGAAAACAGGUUCUCAGCUGAGUAGAUAGAAGUAUGCAGGGUUGCCAGGGCAUACAAUUCAUUAGUUGUGGGAUAUGUAUAUAUCUCGUCACGUCCCAUGCAGACACAUACCAACAUUUCAGGAUCGGGUGGAUUGAGUCUUAAAAUUGAAAAUUAGUUUAUAUGACAAAUUGAAAAAAAAAAGAAAAAAAAAAGUAAGCAAGCUCAUAUGACAUUUAAAAAAAAAAAUUCUUGUUCUCAAUUGUAGAACAUAGCUCUAACCACUUAUUGCACAAACACAUAAACCAUGACGAUGAUACGUUUGUUAGUUCUCAGUUUUUAUUUUGGACUUGGAAGUUGUGGGCACGGUGUUGCUGUUAGGAACGGAUUCAACUCUGAUGUACCUCUAACUAAUGCAUUGGUGACCGGUUCUGUCAAAACCGCUGCCAGCUUGUUCCGGUUGCAGAGAAAAAUGUGAUUUCUUGUUGCUCCAUGAUUGCUCUUUCACACUUAACAGGCAAGAACACUUACAUCUAUGAUAGGUGAAGAGAGAAAUUUCCUUGAAAUGAGGUGGUUUAUAGAACACUCAAGGCUCAAGCCAACCCCUAAGAUAUGUCUCUAAUUAAUGAUGUGUAAGACAUACUUACAUGUAAAUUUCUCUAAUGUCACUGAUCAAAUUGGAAAUUAUUAAUUUAUAUUUGUUAAGAUGAUAAGUUACUUAAAAAAAAUAAAAAAAGGACUCGUGACAUUGCUUCUCUAGAAAGUGCUUAAGCUAGAAGUGCUUCUAUUAUAACCACAUUGAAAUUUUUAUUAGAAACUCAAGUACAUUCUAAAAAACCACUUAAGGAUGCUUUUCGAAAAUAAAAAAAAGGCGUAUGCUUCUCCAUGAACCGCUUCUUUGAGCCAUAUGAACAAUUUAAACAAACCCCUAACUAGCGAGCAUGGCCUAGCCCAACCCCCAAUAUUACUCUUAGAAGCAACGAAAUUGAGAUGUAAAAACAUGUUUUCAUGGUCUUUAUAGAGGAAAAAGAUAGGGUAAAAUGACCUAAAUGGGUAAGAUUUAUAAACAAGUUGAUUCAUGCUUCAUAAUUGCAUCAGUUCCUUUGCAGUUUGUAGUAAAUGUCUACGUACCUUCCUUACAAGUCUCUUUACUGCGCUUUCCUUCAAUUCACUGUUGUUUUGUCAUCGUCAAAGCUUUCAAUAUUAAGAUCAAACCUUAAUAUUUUGCAGACCUCAUCAGAUGAGUGGCCUCUUUAACUCUGUACCAUCGUCAGUGUCGUCAUCAAACUCAUAUGGUAUAAUCUGAUAGUCUUCCUCAUCAGUAUCAUCAUCUCACGCUGUCACGCCCCGAUCCCCACAUACGUCCAGGAUCGACACUUGACGUCAUCAAAUAACCACAUAUCUAACAUACCCCGCCUCCAAGAUAUGUACAAAGCACAACUCGAGAAUCGAAUCGCAUAGAAGUAUUUCGUAUACUUUAUGGCUGCAUCUAACCUCUUCGUUAGACUGCCUACAUACCCUCAUUAGGGAUCAAGCCAUUCGUAGUUCGUCAUUCAUUACACCUCGACAUUUAUCACAAUACGUUCAAAUCGAAAAGCAUAGCAUUCCUCAAUCAAUUAUUAGAACUUAACAAGCAUGAAUUACUAGAUUCAUGGUUACAUAACAAAUCCACAUGACAUUCAAGGUUUCCAUUCCAUCCAUCAUAUAAAUCACUAUGUUUUCAACGUGAUAUCUCCAUCCACAACAUGUAACUUAUCCAAUAACCAACGAAGCACAAUAUUAUUCUUAAGCCACAUUGAUCACUAAAUAAUCAUAAUAAUAACAAUCAUAUUCAACAUCAUUCCACAAUUCCCGUCAAUUAAUCCCUUCAUGAAUCAAGGAUGCAUGAUCUUAGCAUUUAACUACGUUAAUCAAUCAAUGAGAUAACAUACCAUUUCACCAAUUCAAUUAGAGAACUCUAUAUAAUUCCCUACUUGGGUUAUGAGUAAUAACAUGGUAAUUCUAAUUUAUAUUCACAAGGUCUAUGGAUAAUUCCCAUUUGCUCGAAUCUAGGGUUCUAGACUAACCUUUUGGAACGUGCAAGAGUAAGGAUUUCGGACCACUCAACGGAAUUCAACCACAUCGGGUUCCAGACCACUCAACGGAACCAAAAUAUCAAUCGGUUUCUCGUAAUCUAUCCAGACCUGUUGCAUGUAAAAUCAGUGCCUACAUCAUGGAAAUGGUGCAUUGGGUAAUUCAGAACUUGGAUAAGUUGUGAAACUCAGGUGAACGACAAUAAUACAAAGUGUGAUAAUAGUGAUAAAACCAACCAUCAAUCACAGUUUAUAAACUUUGAAUAUGAAUCAUUCAUAAGAAAUUAAUACCAAACCUUCGCAAACUCUGAAGGAGUCACCCAAACAUCCAACGGUUCGUCUGAAACAAUCACAACAUCUCAUAACCAUAUUCUCAUACAACACCAUGAAAAGUAGGGUUAGAGCGACAUAGUUCGGCCGAAGCCUAUACCUUUGAAGCUAUCUCAAUCCAAACUCAAUGAAACCCAAGGUGAAUACAAUUCCGGAACUUCACUCAACGGAAUCGCGGAGUAGAAGGGAUUCUGGACCAUCUCUCAUGGAAUCCAAGUGGAUACGAUUCCGGAACAUCACUCAACGGAAUCGCGGAAGGCCAACAACCAUAAUGUACAACGGCUCAAAGAAAUGAGACAAGCACAAGCUACUAAAUUUACAAAAGCUUAACCAAGGGAAAUAAGGCACAUAUGCUAAAUUUAAAACGAAUCAACGAAGAGGGAAAAGAAACAAUAUCGAAGCAACAUAUCCCCAAUCACAACGGGUUCACAGUCCACCACUAGUCUUCACAUUUCAUCACAUCAAGCCAACCAUACAAAGCAAACCAUGUUUCUAAUAUGCACGUCAAAUCCCACAUCAUAAACUAUAACGAUGGCACUUUAUAGAAAACAUAAUCAUAAAACCGUCUCAUACCCUCUCAGGAUAAUAAUUAUGAAAAUAGAGUAAUCACCUGUAACAUAUAUUAAAGUCACUCACCCUUUUUUUUUUAUGUACAUAUACAUGAGUCAAAAUAAACACACAAGAGGGAGCCUUCACAAAGGUUGCUUAGGAGAAGUCUCAGCAGUCGGUAGAGCCCCAGAAAGAGAAGGCACCGGAGGGGGAUCAUUUGGAGCCUCAGUACUGGACAGAACCCUAGAAGGAGGAGGCAUCAGAGGUUGAUCAUUUGGAGCUUCAUUACGCGGUACAGCCCCAGAUGACGAAGGCAAUAAAUGCCUUUGGAACAAACCCACAAAUCUCUGAUGAUCAAGUAAAACCUGACCAUCAGUUUCCUUCAUCUGGUCAAGCUUCCUCUUCAUGUUUGUAGCAUAGUCAUGUGCGAGCCGGUGCAACUGUUUAUUCUCCUGUUUGAGACCUCUAAUCUCCUGUUUGAGACUCAUCACUUCAGCCGCCAAUGAUUCAACUUGGCGGGUUCGAGCAAAUAGGCGUUGGGCCAUAUUAGACACAGAACCUGCACACUGAACACUGAGAGCCAGCGAAUCCUUAACAGCUAACUCAUCAGACCGUUUGGAAAGUAGUCUGUUAUCUUUGGGAGUGAGAAGGUUCCUGGCCACCACCGCAGCGGUCAUAUCAUUCUUCAUCACGGAAUCCCCAACGGUAAGAGGACCAGUAAGGGAGACGAAGGAUGGGCGCCAUAUGUUGUCUGGAGAAGGCGGGGCUGCCUCUUCAACAAGGUUCAAGUCAAAACGACGGUCGGAGGGGCCAGACAUUUUCAAAGGUGUUGAAGAGAGAAGAGGUCGGACAAAUCAAGAUCUUAGAAGUGCAAGAAUGAAGCUUCUACUGGUGGAGAUUCAAGUGUGCUUUGGAACGUAAUGCCAGCCCCUAUAAAAAUCUGCACUCGACGGAGCUUCAGAAAUCGAAGAGGCGCCUGCUCAGAAAUCGAAGAGGCGUUUGCUUUCUCAAAAGCUGGGCUGCUUAGAGAUCACGAGGGUUGAUCUCAGAAAUCGAAGAGGCGUUUGCUUUCUCAAAAGUUGGGCUGCUCAAAGACCACGAAGGCUAAUCUCAGAAAUCGAAGAGGCGCUCGCUUUCUCAAAAGCUGGGCUCCCCAGAGACCACGAGGGCCGAUCUCAGAAAUCGAAGAGGCACCUACUUUUCCAGCCUUGUCAGCACCUGUCACACGCACACUCAGCUUUGCGGAAAUUAUGGGCAUUCUGUCGAAGACUUCUGGGGAAGUAGAAAACACAUGAAUCUUACUGUUCAAUCACCCACUUCCCACACGCAACAAUAGCUCAUGGGUACCACAGAAAACUUUGCCAAAGUUCUCUGCCAAAGUUGAGCACGUGAAGCUUGCAGGUCCCCACUACAUCGCUCUGACCAAGAAGGGUAAAAGAAUAGCAAAGAAAUAGCACUAACAAAGUUUAGACCUAUAAAUUUUGAAGGUCUAGCUACCAUAUUAUUACCCACAAGGGUAAAGGAACAGUACCACUGCUGGAUAAUUGGAAAGUCCCUGUGUGUCAACCUCUGUGCUUCGUGGCAAGGUAGACUAGCAAAACAUGCCCAACCUUUACUCACAUUCGAGAAAACACUCCCAAUAAGAUUGCUUGCUCCAAAAGCCAGACUCCCAACAUGACUACUUUCUUAAAAAUCGAAGAGAGGGUAAAGGAACAGUACCAUUGCUGGAUAAUUGGAAAGUCCCUGUGUGUCAACCUCUGUGCUUCGUGGCAAGGUAGACUAGCAAACAUGCCCAACCUUUACUCACAUUCGAGAAAACACUCCCAACAAGAUUGCUUGCUCCAAAAUCGAAGAGGCACCGCCCUCCGAAUCUCGAGAGCCAGACUCCCAACAUGAUUACUUUCUCAAAAAUCGAAGAGACACUGCUCCCCGAAUCUUCGAGAGCCAGACCCCCAGCAUGAUUGCUUUCUCAAAAAUCGACGAGGCAUCGUUCUUCGAAUCAAUCGAAAAGGCGCUCGCUUUCUCAAAAGCUGGGCUGCUCAGAGACCACGAGGCUCGAUCUCAGAAAUCGAAGAGGCACCUACUUUUCUAGCCUUGUCAGCACCUGUCACACGCACACUCAGCUUUGCAGAAAUUAUGGGCAUUCUGUCGAAGACUUCUGGUGAAGUAGAAAGCACAUGAAUCUUACUGUUCAAUCACCCACUUCCCACACGCAACAAUAGCUCAUGGGUACCACAGAUAACUUUGCCAAAGUUCUCUGCCAAAGUUGAGCACGUGAAGCUUGCAGCUCCCACUAAAUCGCUCUGACCAAGAAAGGUAAAAGAAUAGCAAAGAAACAGCACUAACAAAGUUUAGACACAUAAAUUUUGAAGGUCUAGCUACCAUAUUAUUACCCACAAGGGUAAAGGAACAGUACCACUGCUGGAUAAUUGGAAAGUCCCUGUGUGUCAACCUCUGUGCUUCGUGGCAAGGUAGACUAGCAAACAUGCCCAACCUUUACUCACAUUCGAGAAAAACACUCCCAACAAGAUUGCUUGCUCCAAAAUCGAAGAGGCACCGUCCUCCGAAUCUCGAGAGCCAGACUCCCAACAUGACUACUUUCUCAAAAUCGAAGAGAGGGUAAAGGAACAGUACCAUUGCUGGAUAAUUGGAAAGUCCCUGUGUGUCAACCUUUGUGCUUCGUGGCAAGGUAGACUAGCAAACAUGCCCAACCUUUACUCACAUUCGAGACAACACUCCCAAUAAGAUUGCUUGCUCCAAAAUCGAAGAGGCACCGCCCUUCGAAUCUCGAGAGCCAGACUCCCAACAUGAUUACUUCCUCAAAAAUCGAAGAGACACUGCUCUCCGAAUCUCGAGAGCCAGACCCCCAGCAUGAUUGCUUUCUCAAAAAUCGAAGAGGCAUCGUUCUCCGAAUCUCGAGAGCCAGAUACCACAGACCACUUUUUCAAAGUGCUCUGACAGAGUUAAAACAUGUGAAACUGGCAGCUCCCACUACCGUGAUAUGACCAAGCAGGGUAAAGGAAUAGCAUUACUACUUGUUAGGGAGACUCCUAUAUAUGUCGACCUCCAUCCCCAACGAACAGGCAGACCUGCAAAAAUGCUCAACCCUUCAUCAUAUAUGAGAGGGCACUCCCAACGAAACCUUUCGAAAUAUUCAGCUUUCUUUCCCCCCGAUAAUACCUCUGCAAACAAGCUAUACUAGAGCAAGAAUAUCUCAUAUCAUCAGGGUUAAAAGCAAGAGUAUCCCAUAUCAUGCUUUUUCCCUGUCUUUUCCUUUGGCCUUGUUUUUACCUGCAAGACAAGGAGAAAGAGAGCAAUCAGUCAGCACUUGGAAUCAAGCUUCCAGCCAGGAACUGACUGCCUGGAACCGCUUACCUGAUUACUUACCUGGCAUUGCUCUCGAGUACUCAUCUUCAACAUCUUAUGUUUCCAGGGAAGAUUCCGCAUCUGCUUGAGGAACAGAUAGGGCAAGUGCGAAGGAUACAAGGAAGCAUGUGGAGACAAGCGUAACAGCACACGUGCCGAUACAUCCAUUACUCUGUCAAAAGCAAAAGUAUCCCAUAUCAGCAGGGUGGAACGUACUCUAGAUUUGAUGGACUUGUUUUGACCCUCAAAUUCUUCAGUCGGCCUUAUACUCUGGAGGAAACCAGAAAACCCUCCAGCUCAGUUCAAGAAUAAGCCUGUGGAAAGUUACUUCUUCAAAAGCAAAAGUAUCUCAUAUCAUCUCUUCUCAUUUUUCUUCUCUUUAUCCUUCAUGCUGCUGAAAGAUGGGGAGAAGGUGAACAAUCAGUUGGAGCUUUGAUUGCUUACCUUGUCUGUCACCUCUUUCAGCAGACCCCCUAGCUCGGCGACUUGGGGGACUCCUACUACAUGGUUUGUAUCGCGCUUGACCAAGCCUGAAACUACAAGUAAGCUUCAAGUGAAAUUGAUACAUUACCUUGUGCAUCUCCACCAGUUAAAGAUACCACCCCUGGAUGGAGGAAGAGUACUUCCAGAGAAGAUGCCACAUCUACCUAUGAGACAGAUAAGGCAAGUCAAGACGACACCACACUCCGAUACUUAGAAGUUUCGUGAUUACGAGAUCAUUCUCCCACAAUAUUUCCUAAUGUCAUUUGUACUAAAUCAUUCACUUGUACUCACUAAAGGAGAGCUUGAACCUAUGUACUUGUGUAAACCCUUCACAAUUAAUGAGAACUUUUCUAUUCCGUGGACGUAGCCAAUCUGGGUGAACCACGUACAUCUUGUGUUUGCUUUCCUAUCUCUAUCCAUUUAUAUACUUAUCCACACUAAUGACCGGAGCAAUCUAGCGAAGAUCACAAAAAGCGACCGUUUUCGCUACCUAGGAUCUAUCUUGCAAGAGAACGGAGAAUUAGAUGGAGAUCUCAACCAUAGAAUACGAGCUGGAUGGAUGAAGUGUAAGAAUGCAUCCGGCGUGUUGUGUGUGACCGUCGUAGGCCACUGAAGCUCAAGGGAAAAUUUUAUAGGACGGCAAUAAGGCCAGCGAUGUUGUAUGGCACAGAAUGUUGGGCGGUGAAGCAUCAACACGUACACAAAAUGGGGUGUAGCGGAGAUGAGGAUGCUUCGUGGGAUGUGUGGGCACACGAGAAAGGAUAAGAUUGGGAAUGAGGAUAUCCGAGGUAAAGUAGGAGUAGCCGAAAUUGUAGGAAAGAUGAGAGAAAAUCGGCUCCGGUGAUUUGGACAUGUGCAAAGAAGGCCGAAUGACGCUCCGGUUCGAAGAUGUGACUACGGGACAGAGGUUCAGGGCCGAAGGGGUAGAGAAAGACCUAGGAAAUCUUUGGAAGAGACUCUAAGAAAAGACUUAGAGUACUUGGAUCUAACGGAGGAUAUGACACAAAACCGAGCGCAAUGGCGUUCUAGGAUUCAUAUAGCCGACCCCACUUAGUGGGAAAAGGCUUUGUUGUUGUUGUUGUUGAACCAUACAUAUUAUUUCUCAUCCAUGAAAUCAACAUUUUAACGUUCUAUUCCUAUGCUUGUAACCUUCAUUCUCCAUCCUUUAAUAAACCAACCCAAAGUUAAUGGUUUUUCAACUUAAAACACCACCUCUUCACUCAUGCCACUACCCCUUUUGACAUGUAUAUGCGGCAAUAUAUAUAUAUAUAUAUUAAUUAAGAGAAACUAGAUCGUUUACUAAUAACUUGAAUAUAACUACUAGUAAACAAUCUAAACUCUUAAACCCCAACUAAACACACUCAAAUAAGCACAAGAUUAACAAGGAUGUCAUUUCAACUAUAAUUCCCUUCUAGGUCUAGAUGCUUGGUAACGAAAGAAGUAUCUCAUAAAUCUAAUGUCACAUAUCGGAAAAUUCGACUUUUUCCAAAAAUUCUCAAAUUUUACAAGAAUGAAGGUCUCAACAAGUAGAGUAAAUUUUAUAUUUGUGGCCAAGUCCAAUUUGACCGGGAAGGCUCUCAAAUUGGCUCGUAUCCAUCGAAAACCCUAAGGUGGGUGUUCUUCAAUUCGGCUUCCUUGGUGUUCCAAUGCCCCUACAACUAAUUGGGUCUUGUUCUUGGGUCCAAGAGAAGUUGAUCAAGGGUGAUGUGAAUGGUGAUACUCUCCAGAAUGACAAUUCGUCGUCGAGAACCCCCGGGUUCUCCUAUGGAGUUCUACAUGAAAUAGACCUUAAAAACCCUUGAUAUUUGGUGGAGGUGGAAGGAGGAAUGUAGUUGAGCAGGUUGCAGGUGAAGGAGAUAAGAAAAUCAGUUGAGAAAUGGUAGAAAUUUGCAUGAAGUUGGCCGGAUCAAAACCAUUUUUUUUUUUGUGGUGCACGGGUUCACCAAAUGGGGGGGACUCCUUUCCCUCCUUUUCUUUCUUCACUCGCCACUCCCGUGGCUUUAUCUUUUUUUUUUUUUUUUAAGCAACACAACUUCAAACUUCCGUAAUUAUACCGUUAUAAUCCGGACUCGCAAAUGGUUUUCGCCUAUGCUUUCGUGACUUCAAGACCUAUUCGAAAACGUUACUUGUGACCUCGAAAGGUCAACGAGUAAAUAAUAAUUCCAAACUUCACUCUUCGUAACUAGAUUAAUUGAAAUCUAAUUUCAAAUAAAUUAAUAUAAAUUCUCAAAAAGUAAUAUAAAUCUCAAUAAUACAAUUACGUAGAUUAUAACAGUGAAAUCCAGAAACGGGAUUUCACACACCCUUAUGGUACGCGCUCAUAGUUCACUUUUUUUAUUUCUGAAGGUAAACAAUGUUCCCAUCCUACAGAAUUUACUCCUGUUUUCUUCACCUUAAAUUGAUGAUCAUCCUCUGUUCCAAAAAAUUCUGCAUGCACACGAACCUUGUCGCCACUUUUCAGAUUGAGCUUCCUGUUUGAAAGACUUCCCAGCCAAAGAUAAUCUUCAUGGGAGCCAGUUAUGGUGGCAUCCAUUCACCAGAUGGAAAAAUAAGUUCGCUGGGAAGGAUUAACCACAUCAAUCCAUAAAGACCCACUACACUGCGAUGGUCCAAAGAAUAAACGAUGCACACAGCCAACCCUCCUAUAUAAUCAAUACUUGGCGGCACAUCAAAUUUGACAUUUUCAUCCUCUGUCACGACAUAGGUUAACCAUUAAGGAAUAACAUUUCAAGAGCGACCGAUUCCUCCAAAUACAUCCCCCACGUUCCAUUUCUACAACGCGGCGUGCAAAGUUUGUAUAAGCAACAAUACGAGAAGGGCACAGAGAGAGAGAGAGAGAUCGAGGCUAUCAUGCAACAAAAUAUAAAACUCAUCUAGGACAAUUAUGACUAUUGUGAAUUGGUAAUAUUAUCGAUGGAUAUGUUAUAUGAUCUUCAAACUCGCUAUAGCAUGAUUUUUUUUUUUUGUAUCCUUUUCGUCAACUUCAUCUGUUUUUCUAUUAAGUAGAGAUGAUAAACUUAAAAUUCAUCCCACAACCUAAAAAAUGGAAAAAAGAAAAAAGAAAAAAAGGAGGUGGAUGUACAAAAUCCUUGCUAUGCCCUCUAUAUUUAACAAAAAAAUAAAUUGAGUUAACGGAUAUAAUUGAAGUACCACAUGAGAUUGAGUUUGAGAACCACAAUAAGAAAAUAAGAAAAACUAUUCUAGAAUGAAGGUAAAAUUCGUGACAACAAUGCCGUAUAUCUAAAAAAUAGUUCAUGCAUAUUUAGAUGUUAACACAUAGUCAUUUAUCUCGUUUAUUGAACAAACAACGAGGACAACAAUGUUGUUUUCUCUCUUUUGAAAUUCAUAAACAAAAUUGAGAUUUCUUGGUGACUCCUCUGUCCCUCAGGACCAACAAGGGGUAAUACAGGAAUAUUCACCUGUUGUCCAUUGACUAUGCCUUUUGGCCUGAUCUUAGGCCCCGACUCACUCUCCGUGGACAAACCUUGCGAAGGAACCUUUAGGUUUUCGGGGCAUCGGAUUUUCACCAAUGUUUGCGUUACUCAUGCCGACAUUCUCGCUUCCGCUCCGUCCACGUCUAAUUGCCAUUUUGUUUGGGCUUCUCCUUUCUGUUCUUACCGUCUCUUCCAUUUGGAAGCUUCUGGUCAUUAAUUUUUUUAGCUUCAUUAGAAGAUGCUCCCAUUUGGCCCCUGUAAGGAAUGAAAUUGAAUUUCGUGUUCAGCUAUUUAAAGAUUCAACUCUAAGUUUUGUCAAUAGCAAUUAAGUAAGAACAGGUAUGAUCAAGCUUAUAAACAAAUCACAACAACAUUACAAAUCAGAAACAUGUACAAGGUAAUGCAGUUAUAUCCAAUUCUUUUGUGCUUUCUCCACAAAAGUUCCUCCACAUUAACGUAACUCUAUAUCAAUUAAUCUAUCAUACAAGACUAGAAAUAAUCGGCAAUUGAAAAAUAAGACAACACGAGCUUCCGUCCAGUAAAAUUUUCAUCCAAAGACAGUAGGCAAAACCAAAAACGUACAAACCUUCAAUGCCGUUGUAUAAUCUCUCCCUUCCCAAUAUGCUCAUCAAGCAAUUCCGGCACAUUACCAGGAGUGGCGAAGGGAUACCUGCAAUUAAUAAUACAUAAUAUUCAUACUCCUUCAUCGAUCCCAAUACGAUAAAUUUUAAAUUGUUAUGAUCCAGAUAUUACCAAUGAUCUGUUAUGCUUCCAUCUGAACCUAGGUUGUAGAUAUCCAAGUUUCCAGCAUACUUGUGGCCUCCAAUGUGAAAGCAAGCAGUAACGAAUACCUGAUCCGUCAAUCCUCGCAGCUCAGCCUCCUGUUUGAACUUAUCAAUGAGAGUACGUGCAUGAUAACGAUCCCAUUUAUCUUGACUCAUACGUGCGCAUAUAAAUACAUAGGGGCCAGUCAGCGGCUCUUGCACUCCAGAAGCCCAUGGUUUGUGAUUCAUAAGGACAUCAUCAACAAAGCUGUCCACAUCCGACUCUUUCAAGCCCCUUUGAUCAACAAACAAAAACAACCUCAAAAUCACAAGAAAGGAUUUACAGGCAAGCAAUUAGUCGUAAACGGAGCCAUUAAAUUCAAUUUCUACAACUAAUUUCAGAAGCUAACACAUAUCUAAUUAUCCAUUUAGGUCAGUAAAUUCAUGUUGGUUAUGGAAUGGGCCCUCGAUUAUGAAUUAAUUACGGUUUGCCAUUGUGUGUGCUAGUGUGGCCCAUGCUUAACAGCUGGGUUGGGCUGCUGCAUUUAGGUGUGUGUUUGCUAGCUGGCUGGCUGGUGGGUGAGUCUUAGAUACAAACCCAAUCUUAUUAAUUAAAUUUGGCCUUUGGUGUGCUCAAACUGCUAUGGGGGAUGGUUAGAAUUUUGAGCCCGGGAUGCAGUAGGACCAAGAGCAAUCCACCACUUGCAGAAUUGUUGUCAAAGUAACUCUGCUAAAAAUAUGAGCUAUACUUCCUGCACUAUGCUUUUACUGUGAAGUGGAAAUAGUCUUUAGAGAGGCUUAUUUGGGAUAAUUGAUAAAGAGGUUUGUGUUUAAGACUUGAGAGUAGUGCGGUGUCUUUCUUGCUGGUUCUGCUCACACCACCUCAUCUAGCCAUUGUGAUGGAGUACACGGCUGGGUGAGA